AUUAUAUUGCUAUAAAGCAAAAAUAAAGUUUUAUUAUGACAUUAAAAAUAUAUGCUGAAAAAAAAUUAUGUGGAUUUCAAUAAAGUUUUAUUAUGACAUUAAAAUAAAGUUCUUUUCUUUUCAUUUUCAUAUAGCGUUAAAUUUCAUUUUCGGUAUAUUUUUUUCACUUUUAGGUUUAGUGGUUGUAAAUUUGAGGCGGCGAAAGGUGUAACAUCGAUAUAUGGUGAUGCGGAGGUUCCUUUGCAUCAAGACCUAGCUUUGUGGAGGUAGAUGCAGGUCGUGAUCCCCAAAUUUUCUGUUAUCUCCCAAGUUUUCUUUUCGGUUUUUGGUUUCAGUAGCGAGGCGGCUGCAGCUUUCUCGUGAGGAGGUGACUGAUUGUUCUGAAGUUUUGUUGGAGAUUAGAUCCAUGAAUCUUACCUCUCUGCUAUUAGUUUCUUUGAGGACAUUGGCUUGAGCAUGGGGAACUCGGGUUUUCUGAUGGAGGUGGUGGAGGUAAAUUGGUUGUGGAACGUGGCUUCGGCCCCUCUACAUACCGGUUCUGCAUCGGCAAAGACUCUUCAAUUUUUCUUUUUGAAAAUUACCUCUUCGUCCAGUUCGGGAUAAAUGGAGUUUUCGAAGAACAACAGUUUUAGUUGAUGUAGCUGCUGCAGUAGAGGUUUAACUUUGGGCUCGUUUUAUAUUUUGAACUGGUUUGUUCUAGUUUUAGCUCGUUUUUAUUUUCAGCUGUCAUUGUAUGUUUAAAUAACCAAGAAAUGAUAUGAAUAGCUUAAAAUAUAUGUAAUUCAAUAAAUUUGGAACACCGAAAAUUAUAAAGGAAACUUUGCAUCUU
Long non-coding RNA from Brassica napus (rape), 829 nucleotides. RefSeq lists it as uncharacterized. Lineage: Eukaryota; Viridiplantae; Streptophyta; Magnoliopsida; Brassicales; Brassicaceae. The transcript is spliced from 2 exons. The record is from RefSeq and is a predicted model, not a curated record.